CACUAUCGUUAACUGAAUACAUAGGUUAACGAGGCGAACCGGGGGAACUGAAACAUCUAAGUACCCCGAGGAAAAGAAAUCAACCGAGAUUCCCCCAGUAGCGGCGAGCGAACGGGGAGCAGCCCAGAGUCUGAAUCAGCUUGUGUGUUAGUGGAACGGUCUGGAAAGUCCGACGGUACAGGGUGAUAGUCCCGUACACCAAAAUGCACAGGCUGUGAACUCGAAGAGUAGGGCGGGACACGUGGUAUCCUGUCUGAAUAUGGGGGGACCAUCCUCCAAGGCUAAAUACUCCUGACUGACCGAUAGUGAACCAGUACCGUGAGGGAAAGGCGAAAAGAACCCCGGCGAGGGGAGUGAAAAAGAACCUGAAACCGUGUACGUACAAGCAGUGGGAGCACCUUCGGGUGUGACUGCGUACCUUUUGUAUAAUGGGUCAGCGACUUAUAUUCUGUAGCAAGGUUAACCGUAUAGGGGAGCCGCAGGGAAACCGAGUCUUAACUGGGCGUUAAGUUGCAGGGUAUAGACCCGAAACCCGGUGAUCUAGCCAUGGGCAGGUUGAAGGUUGGGUAACACUAACUGGAGGACCGAACCGACUAAUGUUGAAAAAUUAGCGGAUGACUUGUGGCUGGGGGUGAAAGGCCAAUCAAACCGGGAGAUAGCUGGUUCUCCCCGAAAGCUAUUUAGGUAGCGCCUCGUGAACUCAUCUUCGGGGGUAGAGCACUGUUUCGGCUAGGGGGUCAUCCCGACUUACCAACCCGAUGCAAACUACGAAUACCGAAGAAUGUUAUCACGGGAGACACACGGCGGGUGCUAACGUCCGUCGUGAAGAGGGAAACAACCCAGACCGCCAGCUAAGGUCCCAAAGUCAUGGUUAAGUGGGAAACGAUGUGGGAAGGCACAGACAGCCAGGAUGUUGGCUUAGAAGCAGCCAUCAUUUAAAGAAAGCGUAAUAGCUCACUGGUCGAGUCGGCCUGCGCGGAAGAUGUAACGGGGCUAAACCAUGCACCGAAGCUGCGGCAGCGACACUAUGUGUUGUUGGGUAGGGGAGCGUUCUGUAAGCCUGCGAAGGUGACCUGUGAGGGUUGCUGGAGGUAUCAGAAGUGCGAAUGCUGACAUAAGUAACGAUAAAGCGGGUGAAAAGCCCGCUCGCCGGAAGACCAAGGGUUCCUGUCCAACGUUAAUCGGGGCAGGGUGAGUCGACCCCUAAGGCGAGGCCGAAAGGCGUAGUCGAUGGGAAACAGGUUAAUAUUCCUGUACUUGGUGUUACUGCGAAGGGGGGACGGAGAAGGCUAUGUUAGCCGGGCGACGGUUGUCCCGGUUUAAGCAUGUAGGCUGGUUGUCCAGGCAAAUCCGGAUAAUCAAGGCUGAGGUGUGAUGACGAGGUACUACGGUGCUGAAGUAACAAAUGCCCUGCUUCCAGGAAAAGCCUCUAAGCAUCAGGUAACAUCAAAUCGUACCCCAAACCGACACAGGUGGUCAGGUAGAGAAUACCAAGGCGCUUGAGAGAACUCGGGUGAAGGAACUAGGCAAAAUGGUGCCGUAACUUCGGGAGAAGGCACGCUGGUGUGUAGGUGAAGUCCCUGCGGAUGGAGCUGAGACCAGUCGAAGAUACCAGCUGGCUGCAACUGUUUAUUAAAAACACAGCACUGUGCAAACACGAAAGUGGACGUAUACGGUGUGACGCCUGCCCGGUGCCGGAAGGUUAAUUGAUGGGGUUAUCCGUAAGGAGAAGCUCUUGAUCGAAGCCCCGGUAAACGGCGGCCGUAACUAUAACGGUCCUAAGGUAGCGAAAUUCCUUGUCGGGUAAGUUCCGACCUGCACGAAUGGCGUAAUGAUGGCCAGGCUGUCUCCACCCGAGACUCAGUGAAAUUGAACUCGCUGUGAAGAUGCAGUGUACCCGCGGCAAGACGGAAAGACCCCGUGAACCUUUACUAUAGCUUGACACUGAACAUUGAGCCUUGAUGUGUAGGAUAGGUGGGAGGCUUUGAAGCGUGGACGCCAGUCUGCGUGGAGCCAACCUUGAAAUACCACCCUUUAAUGUUUGAUGUUCUAACGUUGGCCCCUGACCGGGGUUGCGGACAGUGUCUGGUGGGUAGUUUGACUGGGGCGGUCUCCUCCCAAAGCGUAACGGAGGAGCACGAAGGUUAGCUAAUCCUGGUCGGACAUCAGGAGGUUAGUGCAAUGGCAUAAGCUAGCUUGACUGCGAGCGUGACGGCGCGAGCAGGUGCGAAAGCAGGUCAUAGUGAUCCGGUGGUUCUGAAUGGAAGGGCCAUCGCUCAACGGAUAAAAGGUACUCCGGGGAUAACAGGCUGAUACCGCCCAAGAGUUCAUAUCGACGGCGGUGUUUGGCACCUCGAUGUCGGCUCAUCACAUCCUGGGGCUGAAGUAGGUCCCAAGGGUAUGGCUGUUCGCCAUUUAAAGUGGUACGCGAGCUGGGUUUAGAACGUCGUGAGACAGUUCGGUCCCUAUCUGCCGUGGGCGCUGGAGAAUUGAGGGGGGCUGCUCCUAGUACGAGAGGACCGGAGUGGACGCAUCACUGGUGUUCGGGUUGUCAUGCCAAUGGCACUGCCCGGUAGCUAAAUGCGGAAGAGAUAAGUGCUGAAAGCAUCUAAGCACGAAACUUGCCCCGAGAUGAGUUCUCCCUGAGACUUUAAGUCUCCUGAAGGAACGUUGAAGACGACGACGUUGAUAGGCCGGGUGUGUAAGCGCAGCGAUGCGUUGAGCUAACCGGUACUAAUGAACCGUGAGGCUUAACCUU
RNAcentral lists this ribosomal RNA (2758 nucleotides) under Klebsiella pneumoniae. Its description in RNAcentral is "bacterial LSU rRNA". It matches the Rfam family "Bacterial large subunit ribosomal RNA". The record is from RNAcentral. Lineage: Bacteria; Pseudomonadati; Pseudomonadota; Gammaproteobacteria; Enterobacterales; Enterobacteriaceae.